This 253-nucleotide ribosomal RNA is filed under the name uncultured bacterium. Its description in RNAcentral is "partial 16S ribosomal RNA". It matches the Rfam family "Bacterial small subunit ribosomal RNA", at positions 524 to 776 of the family's 1533-position model. The record is from RNAcentral.
UACGGAGGGAGCUAGCGUUGUUCGGAAUUACUGGGCGUAAAGCGCGCGUAGGCGGCUUUGUAAGUUAGAGGUGAAAGCCCGGAGCUCAACUCCGGAAUUGCCUUUAAGACUGCAUCGCUUGAAUCAUGGAGAGGUCAGUGGAAUUCCGAGUGUAGAGGUGAAAUUCGUAGAUAUUCGGAAGAACACCAGUGGCGAAGGCGGCUGACUGGACAUGUAUUGACGCUGAGGUGCGAAAGCGUGGGGAGCAAACAGG